AGCAGCCGCGGUAAUUCCAGCUCCAAUAGCGUAUAUUAAAGUUGUUGCAGUUAAAAAGCUCGUAGUUGAAUUUCGGGAUCAAUUUAUUGGUCGUGCUAUUGUACGUACUGGUAUUAUUGAUUCCUACCUUCUGACGAACCAUGAUGUCAUUAAUUUGGUGUCAUGGGGAAUCAGGACUGUUACUUUGAAAAAAUUAGAGUGUUUAAAGCAGGCUCACGCUUGAAUACAUUAGCAUGGAAUAACGAAAUAGGACGUUUGAUUCUAUUUUGUUGGUUUCUAGGAUCGACGUAAUGAUUAAUAGGGAUAGUUGGGGGCAUUAGUAUUUAAUUGUCAGAGGUGAAAUUCUUGGAUUUAUUGAAGACUAACUACUGCGAAAGCAUUUGCCAAGGAUGUUUUCAUUAAUCAAGAACGAAAGUUAGGGGAUCGAAGACGAUCAGAUACCGUCGUAGUCUUAACCAUAAACUAUGCCGACUAGGGAUCGAAUGACGUUAAUUUUUAAUGACUCAUUCGGCGCCUUACG
Molecule: ribosomal RNA, 520 nt
Filed under: uncultured Glomus
Lineage: Eukaryota; Fungi; Glomeromycota; Glomeromycetes; Glomerales; Glomeraceae
Description: SSU rRNA
Rfam family: Eukaryotic small subunit ribosomal RNA
Source: RNAcentral